GCUGCUGUAGCUUCAGUGGUAGAGCAGCCGACUUGUAAUCGGCAGGGCGUUGGUUCAAAUCCAACCUGCAGCUCCA
RNAcentral lists this transfer RNA (76 nucleotides) under Clostridiales bacterium. Its description in RNAcentral is "tRNA-Thr". It matches the Rfam family "tRNA". From Rfam's summary of the family: Transfer RNA (tRNA) molecules are approximately 80 nucleotides in length. Their secondary structure includes four short double-helical elements and three loops (D, anti-codon, and T loops). RNAcentral also lists the same sequence under 1 other name. Lineage: Bacteria; Bacillati; Bacillota; Clostridia; Eubacteriales. The record is from RNAcentral.